AGUCAGACUUGGCAGGGGAGACACCACUGUCAUGAAGGUGGUUUUCCCUGGAUGAAUCUUAUCCAUUGCACCCUGACUAUGCUGACUCCCGAAAUUUCCCCAAAUGUGGAAAUCUUGACUAUAUAACUUAUAGUAGUAUUCUCCCUUGAAAUAAGAAUU
Molecule: small nuclear RNA, 159 nt
Organism: Nannospalax galili (Upper Galilee mountains blind mole rat)
Lineage: Eukaryota; Metazoa; Chordata; Mammalia; Rodentia; Spalacidae
Gene: U1
Rfam family: U1 spliceosomal RNA
About the family: U1 is a small nuclear RNA (snRNA) component of the spliceosome (involved in pre-mRNA splicing). Its 5' end forms complementary base pairs with the 5' splice junction, thus defining the 5' donor site of an intron. There are significant differences in sequence and secondary structure between metazoan and yeast U1 snRNAs, the latter being much longer (568 nucleotides as compared to 164 nucleotides in human).
Source: Ensembl